UACGAAGGGGGGCUAGCGUUGCUCGGAUUGACUGGGCGUAAAGGGCGCGUAGGCGGUUCGUACAGUCAGACGUGAAAUUCCUGGGCUCAACCUGGGGGCUGCGUUUGAUACGUGCGGACUUGAGUGCGGAAGAGGGUCGUGGAAUUCCCAGUGUAGAGGUGAAAUUCGUAGAUAUUCGCAAGAACACCGGUGGCGAAGGCGGCCAACUGGACCAUUACUGACGCUGAGGCGCGAAAGCGUGGGGAGCAAACAGG
Molecule: ribosomal RNA, 254 nt
Filed under: uncultured bacterium
Lineage: Bacteria
Description: partial 16S ribosomal RNA
Rfam family: Bacterial small subunit ribosomal RNA
Source: RNAcentral